Non-coding RNA from Paramormyrops kingsleyae, 2125 nucleotides. NCBI's taxonomy places the organism in Eukaryota, Metazoa, Chordata, Actinopteri, Osteoglossiformes, Mormyridae. The record is from RefSeq and is a predicted model, not a curated record.
ACUUUUAUUAACUGGGACAAUUUAGCUGUAAUCAUUUUUUUAUGAUUAACAUAUUGCGACACUCAUACAUAACUUAGACGUUUAGGACUGUAUCGUUUUAGUGUCACCAUUCCGUAGUUUAACUGAUUAUAAUCCAUAUAUAUUCUUUUUGCAGUCUUUAUUAGGUGACAAUCUUCAUAAAGGACAAAUACGAUUACGCUUAGUGCAAGAAUUUGUAUGAUGUCAUUUUAUUUCGGGUUAGUAAACUCUGUCAAAACGCCAUGCAUUGUUAUAUGUAAGGGAGCGAUAUCUGUUUAAAAAGAAUGAAGUCAGAUAAUCCCCGUAAAAGUUCCUAUUGGCGGAUGAUGUCAUGCUCAUGCGCAGACGGUCUCGUCCCGCAAACCCUUGAAUGACGAGGCUCCUGGGAGAGCUGCAUCCUGAAUACAGCUGCAGUCUUCUUCUCUUGGCUGAUUCUGGCAAACUCAGUUCCGUUUAUUCUGCUGGAAGGAAACGUCCGACGAGGAAGUGCUUUCCGGGGAAACUGGCCGCACACCUCUUCGGCACCGUGAGGGAGAUGAGGACCUCGGGAUUAAUCCCGUCUGUGCCGGGCUCGUCCGCAUCCCAGCCUUCGACAGAGAGUUGGUGGUGAGCAGGGAGGUGGCCAGGAUACUGCUGUAUGGUUCCCUUACAUCCGUGUGAUCGGCUUCAGGCCCCAGGAUGGCAUCAAUCACCAAGUUAUAGGCGUCAUUAAUCAACUGGACCUAAACCGGGAUAGAGUCAACACUGUCUAAACUCUGGUUUCUAUAUGAUGCAUUUUAAUAACUUGACAGAACCUUAAAAAGUCCUUUAAGUAUUGCAACACACACAUGUAUUAGUGAAAAUUGUGUAAAAAAAUAUAUAUUUUUUUAAAUGUCAAACUAGCUGUUCAGUUCGUAAAUGCGGUUAAAAUGACUGAAUCCUUUGUUAACAAUCCAUAUUGUUGCUUCGCUUGACAGGUAUCCUGGGUCAGUGAUUCUCAACCUGGGGGACUGCAGCCCACUGGGGGGCAUCAGUCAGGCCCACUGGGGACAUGCAAUUUAUUUGAAAAGUGAAGAAAAAAAAUAUGACAUUGACAUAUGAUCUGGCCGGUAGCCUGUAUCAAAAAAUUUUACAGUAUAUUGAUAUUUUUGCUAAACGAGAUGUAGGAUAAUAAAUGUUUAUAUCAAUAUAGUUUAAUUGUAUUAAAAUUAGGGCUAUUUUUAAUAGAAACCAAAAGUGGUCCUUCCUAGUUUUAAACAGCUGGAGGGCUUUGGUCAUGACAUUACACAGAAUCCCAGAAUUCACAGCUAAAAAUCAAUUCGCGGCGUCUCAGAGAAGCCGAGAGAGGGGAAAGGCAAGGACUCAUCGUUACAUUUACUUUCAGCUUUUCAAGACACCCGAAGCACUUCACAGACCUGGAUGAUGCAACAGCAGCCAUUCAAUGCCAGUACACUCAUCACAGUAGCUAGGGGGAUUAAUUUUAAUAGGGGAUGAUUAGGAGGCCAGAUCUGAAAGGGCCACAGUGGCCAGUUUAGUCAGAACAUCAGGGUACCACCCCCAGGGAUCUUUUAUGACAGUGAGUCAGGACCUCGGUUAUACGUUAUCAUUUGAAGGAUGGCGCCACUCUACAGCACUGUAUCUCCAUCAUUGCACUGGGGCCCCAACAGACCUCAGGAUGGACUAACCUGUUGGCCUCACCAACACCUCCUCCAGCAGCAACUCACUUUCCUAGUUUGUCUCCCAUCCAAGUACUGGCCAGUACUUAGCUUCAGAUGCAUUACCUACUCUGACCUGCAGGUGGCACGGCUGCUGAUACACUUGGUUCACUUCAAUUGAAACAUUGUUAAAAAUAUCACAGUUUGUAACAUGUCAUUUUGUUAAAGGCUAAUGCCUUAAAAUGAAGGUCUUUUCAGUUAAGAACGUUUAAUGUUUGUCAGGUUUCUGAUUUUAGAGCCAUUUCCCAAAUAGGUUUUAAAUAUAGUUUUUUUUGUUCACAAACAUUCACCCUCUGUUCUGAGAACAAUAUCACAAACUGAGGGGAAAAAACAGUGUUAUAAUGGUGGACAUGUGCAAACGAAAUUACAUCGUUUGGCAGUGUAACCAAAUUAAAUUGUAUUAAUAAACGAUG